CAGCAGCCGCGGUAAUACGGAGGAUGCAAGCGUUAUCCGGAUUCAUUGGGUUUAAAGGGUGCGCAGGCGGAGAUAUAAGUCAGUGGUGAAAAACUGCCGCUCAACGGUAGUCUUGCCAUUGAUACUGUUUCUCUUGAGUAUGGAUGAGGUAGGCGGAAUGUGCAGUGUAGCGGUGAAAUGCAUAGAUAUUGCACGGAACACCAAUUGCGAAGGCAGCUUACUGGGCCAUUACUGACGCUCAGGCACGAAAGCGUGGGGAUCAAACAGGAUUAGAUACCCUGGUAGUCCACGCAGUAAACGAUGUUCACUCGCUGUUUGCGAUAUACUGUAAGCGGCUUAGUUAAAGCAUUAAGUGAACCACCUGGGGAGUACGAUCGCAAGGUUGAAACUCAAAGGAAUUGACGG
RNAcentral lists this ribosomal RNA (405 nucleotides) under uncultured bacterium. RNAcentral's name for it is "bacterial SSU rRNA". It matches the Rfam family "Bacterial small subunit ribosomal RNA", at positions 509 to 916 of the family's 1533-position model. The record is from RNAcentral.